This 356-nucleotide long non-coding RNA is filed under the name Struthio camelus australis. RNAcentral's name for it is "lncRNA (ENSSCUG00000014266.1)". The record is from RNAcentral. Lineage: Eukaryota; Metazoa; Chordata; Aves; Struthioniformes; Struthionidae.
CAGAAAAAAUUGGCCGCUUGGGUGUGGAAUCAGAGAACAUAGUGGCCAGUAGCAAGCAGAAGAGGAACCAGAGGUCUGGGAAAAGACUAGUUUCACAGCAAAAUGUGGCUUGUGGCAAUCUGAAGUGACGGCUCCUAGCUUGUGCAAGACACUGGCAAUAGCUGAGAGACUAAUGUCUGCACAGCUGCUCGUGAGCCUGGGGGUGUGCAGCAUCCGUUCACCAUUACGCUCUGAUGAAACAUUGACAAAACAAAAAUGCUGGUAAGAAAUGCGGAUCUUCAGUAAUGUGAGAAACUACUCUUAUCACUGGCUAAUACACUUAUGGAGUUCAUAAACUGACCUAUGCCUUUGCUUAU